CAGUCGCCGCGGUAAUACAGAGGGUGCAAGCGUUAAUCGGAAUUACUGGGCGUAAAGCGCGCGUAGGUGGUUUGUUAAGUUGGAUGUGAAAUCCCCGGGCUCAACCUGGGAACUGCAUCCAAAACUGGCAAGCUAGAGUAUGGUAGAGGGUGGUGGAAUUUCCUGUGUAGCGGUGAAAUGCGUAGAUAUAGGAAGGAACACCAGUGGCGAAGGCGACCACCUGGACUGAUACUGACACUGAGGUGCGAAAGCGUGGGGAGCAAACAGGAUUAGAUACCCCUGUAGUCCCUGUCUAUUAUAC
RNAcentral lists this ribosomal RNA (301 nucleotides) under uncultured bacterium. RNAcentral describes it as "partial 16S ribosomal RNA". It matches the Rfam family "Bacterial small subunit ribosomal RNA", at positions 509 to 807 of the family's 1533-position model. The record is from RNAcentral.